This 181-nucleotide unclassified non-coding RNA is filed under the name fungal sp. RNAcentral's name for it is "partial internal transcribed spacer region". The stretch from base 1 to 46 matches the Rfam family "Eukaryotic small subunit ribosomal RNA", at positions 1786 to 1831 of the family's 1831-position model. The record is from RNAcentral. Lineage: Eukaryota; Fungi.
AAGUCGUAACAAGGUUUCCGUAGGUGAACCUGGGGAAGGAUCAUUAACACGUAUCCAACGUUAAACCACCCGUGCACCUUCAUCUUGCCAGCACCGAAACGAGUCUCACCGCUCGGGGGUUCUCCGGGGCUUCCAGAGCUGGUAACCCGAACAACUGUUAACAAUGGAUAUCUUGGCUCUC